CUGAUUAGAAGCUUGCUUCUAUGACGUUAGCGGCGGACGGGUGAGUAACACGUGGGCAACCUGCCUGUAAGACUGGGAUAACUCCGGGAAACCGGAGCUAAUACCGGAUAACAUUUUCUCUUGCAUAAGAGAAAAUUGAAAGAUGGUUUCGGCUAUCACUUACAGAUGGGCCCGCGGUGCAUUAGCUAGUUGGUGAGGUAACGGCUCACCAAGGCAACGAUGCAUAGCCGACCUGAGAGGGUGAUCGGCCACACUGGGACUGAGACACGGCCCAGACUCCUACGGGAGGCAGCAGUAGGGAAUCUUCCGCAAUGGACGAAAGUCUGACGGAGCAACGCCGCGUGAGUGAUGAAGGCUUUCGGGUCGUAAAACUCUGUUGUUAGGGAAGAACAAGUACAAGAGUAACUGCUUGUACCUUGACGGUACCUAACCAGAAAGCCACGGCUAACUACGUGCCAGCAGCCGCGGUAAUACGUAGGUGGCAAGCGUUAUCCGGAAUUAUUGGGCGUAAAGCGCGCGCAGGCGGUUUCUUAAGUCUGAUGUGAAAGCCCACGGCUCAACCGUGGAGGGUCAUUGGAAACUGGGGGAACUUGAGUG
This 597-nucleotide ribosomal RNA is filed under the name Priestia flexa. Its description in RNAcentral is "bacterial SSU rRNA". It matches the Rfam family "Bacterial small subunit ribosomal RNA", at positions 67 to 648 of the family's 1533-position model. The record is from RNAcentral. Lineage: Bacteria; Bacillati; Bacillota; Bacilli; Caryophanales; Bacillaceae.